GAAUCCAUAGGUUAAUGAGGCGAACCGGGGGAACUGAAACAUCUAAGUACCCCGAGGAAAAGAAAUCAACCGAGAUUCCCCCAGUAGCGGCGAGCGAACGGGGAGGAGCCCAGAGCCUGAAUCAGUGUGUGUGUUAGUGGAAGCGUCUGGAAAGGCGCGCGAUACAGGGUGACAGCCCCGUACACAAAAAUGCACAUGCUGUGAGCUCGAUGAGUAGGGCGGGACACGUGGUAUCCUGUCUGAAUAUGGGGGGACCAUCCUCCAAGGCUAAAUACUCCUGACUGACCGAUAGUGAACCAGUACCGUGAGGGAAAGGCGAAAAGAACCCCGGCGAGGGGAGUGAAAAAGAACCUGAAACCGUGUACGUACAAGCAGUGGGAGCACGCUUAGGCGUGUGACUGCGUACCUUUUGUAUAAUGGGUCAGCGACUUAUAUUCUGUAGCAAGGUUAACCGAAUAGGGGAGCCGAAGGGAAACCGAGUCUUAACUGGGCGUUAAGUUGCAGGGUAUAGACCCGAAACCCGGUGAUCUAGCCAUGGGCAGGUUGAAGGUUGGGUAACACUAACUGGAGGACCGAACCGACUAAUGUUGAAAAAUUAGCGGAUGACUUGUGGCUGGGGGUGAAAGGCCAAUCAAACCGGGAGAUAGCUGGUUCUCCCCGAAAGCUAUUUAGGUAGCGCCUCGUGAAUUCAUCUCCGGGGGUAGAGCACUGUUUCGGCAAGGGGGUCAUCCCGACUUACCAACCCGAUGCAAACUGCGAAUACCGGAGAAUGUUAUCACGGGAGACACACGGCGGGUGCUAACGUCCGUCGUGAAGAGGGAAACAACCCAGACCGCCAGCUAAGGUCCCAAAGUCAUGGUUAAGUGGGAAACGAUGUGGGAAGGCCCAGACAGCCAGGAUGUUGGCUUAGAAGCAGCCAUCAUUUAAAGAAAGCGUAAUAGCUCACUGGUCGAGUCGGCCUGCGCGGAAGAUGUAACGGGGCUAAACCAUGCAC
Molecule: ribosomal RNA, 994 nt
Filed under: Escherichia coli
Lineage: Bacteria; Pseudomonadati; Pseudomonadota; Gammaproteobacteria; Enterobacterales; Enterobacteriaceae
Description: partial 23S ribosomal RNA
Rfam family: Bacterial large subunit ribosomal RNA
Source: RNAcentral